GUUUGAUCCUGGCUCAGGACGAACGCGGCGGCGUGCUUAACACAUGCAAGUCGAACGAUGAAGCCUCGGGGUGGAUUAGUGGCGAACGGGUGAGUAACACGUGGGCAAUCUGCCCUGCACUCUGGGACAAGCCCUGGAAACGGGGUCUAAUACCGGAUAACCGCCGAGGCAUCUCGGCGGGUGGAAAGCUCCGGCGGUGCAGGAUGAGCCCGCGGCCUAUCAGCUUGUUGGUGAGGUAGUGGCUCACCAAGGCGACGACGGGUAGCCGGCCUGAGAGGGCGACCGGCCACACUGGGACUGAGACACGGCCCAGACUCCUACGGGAGGCAGCAGUGGGGAAUAUUGCACAAUGGGCGAAAGCCUGAUGCAGCGACGCCGCGUGAGGGAUGACGGCCUUCGGGUUGUAAACCUCUUUCAGCAGGGAAGAAGCGAGAGUGACGGUACCUGCAGAAGAAGCGCCGGCUAACUACGUGCCAGCAGCCGCGGUAAUACGUAGGGCGCAAGCGUUGUCCGGAAUUAUUGGGCGUAAAGAGCUCGUAGGCGGCUUGUCACGUCGGGUGUGAAAGCCCGGGGCUUAACCCCGGUGCAUUCAUACGGGCAGGCUAGAGUUAGGGGAGUGGACUGAAAUGCGCAGAUAUCAGGAGGAACACCGGGGCGAAGGCGGGCCAUGCG
Molecule: ribosomal RNA, 672 nt
Filed under: Streptomyces viridobrunneus
Lineage: Bacteria; Bacillati; Actinomycetota; Actinomycetes; Kitasatosporales; Streptomycetaceae
Description: bacterial SSU rRNA
Rfam family: Bacterial small subunit ribosomal RNA
Source: RNAcentral